RNAcentral lists this long non-coding RNA (1351 nucleotides) under Mus spicilegus (steppe mouse). Its description in RNAcentral is "lncRNA (ENSMSIG00000029573.1)". Lineage: Eukaryota; Metazoa; Chordata; Mammalia; Rodentia; Muridae. The record is from RNAcentral.
UUAUUGUCAGGAUGUCUUGUCUAAGAUACAGUUACUCUGAUCCCUUCCUUCAUUAUUUACAAAUUGAGUAGACUUUUUAAAAAGAAAAAAACUGUCCCUGUGUUCUGCCUUUAGAAAACUACUGCACUCAAAUAUCACACUUAUGGACAACUUUUCAGAAUAUCAAAUUGAGAGAAAUUGAUGUGUGAAUCAAAUGACGGCUUAUGAUUUUUCUGUUGGCAUUGCACCAAGUAACCUGUGCCUACCUAGUUCCCACAAUAAAGAAUUAGCAAUGGAUAUCACCAAAAAGUCUUUUACCACAGAUUCCACAACCAACUUACAUUCUACUAAAAUACCUUAUUCAUGUGUAACUAAAGAUUAAAAAGUUCUUUUAUGAAUUACUUGGACACUUAACAGUUUAUCUGUUUGCAUAACCCCUCAUGUUCUAUGGGAUCCUACUUCCAGUAACUCAUUAUUUGGGAGUGACCUCUCUAAAAAGAUUUUUGUUGUAGAAAAUCGAACUGAAAACUGUCUCAAGAUAUUUGGGGAUGAUGACAAUAUAUUUUAUAAAGUUACUCAAAAAAAGGUCUGAUGACAUAAAGAUGCCUUCAGGUUCACUAAAAACUGUUCAUAAAUCUUGUGCUAUGAAAGAAGCCAUAGGUAACCACAGUGAGAAAACUUUCUCUAAUGAUAAUGCUGAAGAAUUAAAGAUUACAUCUGCUGCCCCUCAGAAGAAAGGUCCUACAGACAGCAGUGCACAACAGAGCAACUUCCACAUAUUGUAUGUAACGGUGUGAUCAAGUGGUAGAGGAUGACUGACGAAGGUUCCAGCCCAUUCUUUUUCAAUGAGCCUUUGCACCUCCCGCUUAGCCAUAGAAGACUAUAUUAUUACAAGACACUCCUGUUAUUAUAUUUUACUAUAUUAUUGAUUACAAAUAGUUUUCACUUAUUAUGUUUAUUUUCUGCUGUAUAUUACACAUUCUUUAUUAUAAUAGUAAAUGUUAUUAAACUACAUUAUUGCUUAGAUUCCAAUGUGCCUUGAUUCUCCACAGUCUUUGGGAAAUGGCAUUUUUCAAUCUUCUCCUCUAACUCAGUUACUCAGAGACCUGCAUUCAUGAGGUAGAUCCACUAGCAUCACUUCAUUAGUCUUUUCUUCCAAAAUAAUACAAAACAGCAGAAGUGAUCCUACGUUAUGCAUAAGAAAUGAAAGCUGGGAAUUUAUCUAACCAAAUUCUCCCAGAUUCUUACCACAAAACAGUCCCAAUGGCUAAUAAUCAACUAAUUAGGUGUAUCAUAAAAUCAGCCUCACUCCUGUACAUUAUAGAAACACUUUAUUUUAAAUAAAUAUUAUUAGAAUAAUAUUUAUAUGUCA